This 29-nucleotide small RNA is filed under the name Bombyx mori (domestic silkworm). Its description in RNAcentral is "ovarian small RNA-28484". Lineage: Eukaryota; Metazoa; Arthropoda; Insecta; Lepidoptera; Bombycidae. The record is from RNAcentral.
UCGAUGCGCUUAAAUGCCCAGCGUGGGCC